Molecule: unclassified non-coding RNA, 300 nt
Filed under: uncultured Glomerales
Lineage: Eukaryota; Fungi; Glomeromycota; Glomeromycetes; Glomerales; Glomeraceae
Description: sequence contains 5.8S rRNA gene, ITS2, 28S rRNA gene
Source: RNAcentral
AACGCAAAUUGCACUCCUUGGUAUUCCGGGGAGUAUGCCUGUUUGAGGGUCAGUUUAAAUAAACAUCGAGGUUGUUGCUUUUUUGUGACGCUUCGGAAUUGGGAAGUCUUGAUCCUUGGAUCAAGUGACCUGAAAUUUACACGUUUCUGUGCAUCUCUAACGUACAUAAGAAAUAUGUUUCUAAAUACGUCAGGGUUUGCCGGGCUCUAUUAGGUAUGACCAUAUCGUUCGUGGCAUUCGUACCUAUAACGUAACUCAUGUUUUGACCUCAAAUCAGGUAGGAGUACCCGCUGAACUUAA